This 570-nucleotide ribosomal RNA is filed under the name uncultured Spiroplasma sp. Its description in RNAcentral is "bacterial SSU rRNA". It matches the Rfam family "Bacterial small subunit ribosomal RNA", at positions 132 to 690 of the family's 1533-position model. The record is from RNAcentral. Lineage: Bacteria; Bacillati; Mycoplasmatota; Mollicutes; Entomoplasmatales; Spiroplasmataceae.
UUUAGUGGGGAAUAACUGUUGGAAACGACAGCUAAUACCGCAUAAUAUUGCUGGAUAAUUUCCAGUAAUGAAAGGAGCUUUCAAGCUCCGCUGAUUGAUGAGGAUGCGGCGCAUUAGCUAGUUGGUAGGGUAAUGGCCUACCAAGGCAAUGAUGCGUAGCCGAUCUGAGAGGAUGAACGGCCACAUUGGGACUGAGACACGGCCCAAACUUCUACGGAAGGCAGCAGUAGGGAAUUUUUCACAAUGGGCGAAAGCCUGAUGGAGCAAUGCCGCGUGACUGAUGAAGGUCUUCGGAUUGUAAAGGUCUGUUGUAAGGGAAGAAAUGGUAAAACAGGAAAUGGUUUUAUCUAUGACGGUACCUUACCAGAAAGCCACGGCUAACUAUGUGCCAGCAGCCGCGGUAAUACAUAGGUGGCAAGCGUUAUCCGGAUUUAUUGGGCGUAAAGGGUGCGUAGACGGUUUUGCAAGUCUGANGUUAAAUUUAGGAGCUCAACUCCUAAUCGCCUUGGAAACUACNAGACUAGAGUAUAGGAGAGGUUAGUGGAAUUCCAUGUGUAGCGNUGGAAUGUG